This is a non-coding RNA of Collinsella stercoris DSM 13279, 368 nucleotides long. It matches the Rfam family "transfer-messenger RNA". Rfam says of the family: Bacterial tmRNA, also known as 10Sa RNA or SsrA, is named for its dual tRNA and mRNA-like properties. Its role is to liberate the mRNA from a stalled ribosome. To accomplish this part of the tmRNA is used as a reading frame that ends in a translation stop signal. The record is from Rfam. NCBI's taxonomy places the organism in Bacteria, Bacillati, Actinomycetota, Coriobacteriia, Coriobacteriales, Coriobacteriaceae.
GGGGCCGACUGGUUUCGACACGAUAGUUCUGAGAGAGGAAGCAGGCCGUGGUCUCCUCGCCCACGUUAAACAGGGGUACCGUCAAAAUGAAUUGACAAGAAUUCUUCUUUUGAGCCCCAGCUGGCUCUCGCUGCUUAAUUUAUAGCGGCGCGUCAACCCGGUGAUUUCCCCGACACCGGCGCGACGUCAUUUGAGGGGAAUGCUCCCGCGCACGUGAUCGGUAUGGCGCGGGCUAAGACCGAACCGGUUGGGACGCCGAGAGCGUGUCGCUCCGCGCGAGGCGUCCGAGACUAAAUGAGUGACUGAGCCUGGAGAUGCCGAUCAGGGAGCUGUCGUGGACCGGAGUUCGAUUCUCCGCGGCUCCACCA